Molecule: ribosomal RNA, 528 nt
Filed under: uncultured bacterium
Lineage: Bacteria
Description: bacterial SSU rRNA
Rfam family: Bacterial small subunit ribosomal RNA
Source: RNAcentral
AAUAGAUACCCUGGUAGUCCACGCCGUAAACGAUGAGUGCUAAGUGUUAGAGGGUUUCCGCCCUUUAGUGCUGCAGCUAACGCAUUAAGCACUCCGCCUGGGGGAGUACGGCCGCAAGGCUGAAACUCAAAGGAAUUGACGGGGGCCCGCACAAGCGGUGGAGCAUGUGGUUUAAUUCGAAGCAACGCGAAGAACCUUACCAGGUCUUGACAUCCUCUGCCAACCCUAGAGAUAGGGCGUUCCCCUUCGGGGGACAGAGUGACAGGUGGUGCAUGGUUGUCGUCAGCUCGUGUCGUGAGAUGUUGGGUUAAGUCCCGCAACGAGCGCAACCCUUGAUCUUAGUUGCCAGCAUUCAGUUGGGCACUCUAAGGUGACUGCCGGUGACAAACCGGAGGAAGGUGGAGAUGACGUCAAAUCAUCAUGCCCCUUAUGACCUGGGCUACACACGUGCUACAAUGGAUGGUACAAAGAGCAGCGAACCCGCGAGGGUAAGCCAAUCUCAUAAAGCCAUUCUCAGUUCGGAUUGGU